GUUCCGACCCGCACGAAAGGCGUAACGAUCUGGGCACUGUCUCAACGAGAGACUCGGUGAAAUUAUAGUACCUGUGAAGAUGCAGGUUACCCGCGACAGGACGGAAAGACCCCGUGGAGCUUUACUGUAGCCUGAUAUUGAAUUUUGGUACAGCUUGUACAGGAUAGGUAGGAGCCUGAGAAGCCGGAGCGCUAGCUUCGGUGGAGGCGUCGGUGGGAUACUACCCUGGUUGUAUUGAAAUUCUAACCCACAGCCCUGAUCGGGCUGGGAGACAGUGUCAGGUGGGCAGUUUGACUGGGGCGGUCGCCUCCUAAAGAGUAACGGAGGCGCCCAAAGGUUCCCUCAGAAUGGUUGGAAAUCAUUCGUAGAGUGUAAAGGCACAAGGGAGCUUGACUGCGAGACCUACAAGUCGAGCAGGGACGAAAGUCGGGCUUAGUGAUCCGGUGGUUCCGCAUGGAAGGGCCAUCGCUCAACGGAUAAAAGCUACCCCGGGGAUAA
This 498-nucleotide ribosomal RNA is filed under the name Priestia flexa. RNAcentral's name for it is "bacterial LSU rRNA". It matches the Rfam family "Bacterial large subunit ribosomal RNA", at positions 1980 to 2477 of the family's 2925-position model. Lineage: Bacteria; Bacillati; Bacillota; Bacilli; Caryophanales; Bacillaceae. The record is from RNAcentral.